This 1388-nucleotide ribosomal RNA is filed under the name uncultured bacterium. RNAcentral describes it as "bacterial SSU rRNA". It matches the Rfam family "Bacterial small subunit ribosomal RNA", at positions 28 to 1394 of the family's 1533-position model. The record is from RNAcentral.
GACGAACGCUGACGGUGUGCUUUAGACAUGCAAGUCGAACGAGAAAGCCCUUCGGGGUGAGUAGAGUGGCGAACGGGUGAGUAACACGUGGGUAACCUGCCCCUCGCAGAGGGAUAACCGGGGGAAACCCCGGCUAAUACCUCGUACGCUUGCCGGGUCGCAUGGCUUGGCAAGGAAAGGUAGCUUCGGCCAUCCGGCGAGGGAUGGGCCCGCGGUCCAUUAGCUAGUUGGUGAGGUAACGGCCCACCAAGGCGACGAUGGAUAGCUGGUCUGAGAGGAUGAUCAGCCACACUGGGACUGAGACACGGCCCAGACUCCUACGGGGGGCAGCAGUCGGGAAUCUUGCGCAAUGGGCGAAAGCCUGACGCAGCAACACCGUGUGGGCGACGAAGGCCUUCGGGUCGUAAAGCCCUGUUGUUGGGGACGAAGGACGAAGGGUUAAUAGCCCCUAGUCUGACGGUACCCUUCGAGGAAGCCCCGGCUAACUACGUGCCAGCAGCCGCGGUAAUACGUAGGGGGCGAGCGUUGUCCGGAAUUAUUGGGCGUAAAGAGCGUGUAGGCGGUUCGGUAAGUCUGCCGUGAAAACCUGGGGCUCAACCCCGGGCGUGCGGUGGAUACUGCCGGGCUAGAGGGUGGUAGAGGCGAGUGGAAUUCCCGGUGUAGCGGUGAAAUGCGCAGAUAUCGGGAGGAACACCAGUAGCGAAGGCGGCUCGCUGGGCCAUUCCUGACGCUGAGACGCGAAAGCUAGGGGAGCGAACAGGAUUAGAUACCCUGGUAGUCCUAGCCGUAAACGAUGAACACUAGGUGUGGGGGGAGUCGAAUCCCUCUGUGCCGCAGCCAACGCGUUAAGUGUUCCGCCUGGGGAGUACGGCCGCAAGGCUAAAACUCAAAGAAAUUGACGGGGGCCUGCACAAGCGGUGGAGUAUGUGGCUUAAUUCGAUGCAACGCGAAGAACCUUACCUGGCCUUGACAUGUAUCUAGUAGAAGGGUGAAAGCCCGACGAGGUAGCAAUACCAGGAUACACAGGUGCUGCAUGGCUGUCGUCAGCUCGUGUCGUGAGAUGUUGGGUUAAGUCCCGCAACGAGCGCAACCCUUGCGUCCUGUUGCCCCUCGGACGAGAGUUCGAAGCACUCUGGACGGACUGCCUCAUUUAAAUGAGGAGGAAGGUGGGGAUGACGUCAAGUCAGUAUGGCCCUUACGGCCAGGGCUGCACACGUACUACAAUGCCCGGCACAGAGGGAAGCAAGACGGUAACGUGGAGCAAAUCCCUAAAAACCGGGCCCAGUUCAGAUUGUCGUCUGCAACUCGACGGCAUGAAGCCGGAAUCGCUAGUAAUGGCGCAUCAGCUACGGCGCACGUGAUACAACCCCAGGCGUGCACUCACCGCC